GCUUUUAUAUUUUAAUUAGAAUUUUUAUUUUGUAAGUAGAAGGUUAUAAAAGUA
Molecule: transfer RNA, 54 nt
Filed under: Bursaphelenchus xylophilus (pine wood nematode)
Lineage: Eukaryota; Metazoa; Nematoda; Chromadorea; Rhabditida; Aphelenchoididae
Description: tRNA-Thr
Source: RNAcentral